UGGGGAAUAUUGGGCAAUGGGGCGAAAGCCUGACCCAGCGACGCCGCGUGAGGGAAGAAGGUCUUCGGAUUGUAAACCUUUAUGAUCAGGGAAGAAGCAAGUGACGUUACCUGAAGAUGAAGCCACGGCUAACUACGUGCCAGCAGCCGCGGUAAUACGUAGGUGGCAAGCGUUAUCCGGAAUUACUGGGUGUAAAGGGUGUGUAGGCGGGUUUGCAAGUCAGAUGUGAAAAUUACGGGCUCAACCCGUAACCUGCAUUUGAAACUGCAGAUCUUGAGUGCUGGAGAGGUAAACGGAAUUCCCGGUGUAGCGGUGAAAUGCGCAGAUAUCGGGAGGAACACCAGUGGCGAAGGCGGUUUACUGGACAGCAACUGACGCUGAGACACGAAAGCGUGGGGAGCAAACAGGAUUAGAUACCCUGGUAGU
Molecule: ribosomal RNA, 426 nt
Filed under: uncultured Pseudoflavonifractor sp.
Lineage: Bacteria; Bacillati; Bacillota; Clostridia; Eubacteriales; Oscillospiraceae
Description: bacterial SSU rRNA
Rfam family: Bacterial small subunit ribosomal RNA
Source: RNAcentral